GCCGUUCGCUAGGGGAGCUUUAUGCUGAGAGGAAGGACAUCCUUCGACCCUUGGAACCUGAACUGGGUAAUACCAGCGAAGGGAAGCGAAAGUAGUGCUCC
Molecule: non-coding RNA, 101 nt
Filed under: Caloramator mitchellensis
Lineage: Bacteria; Bacillati; Bacillota; Clostridia; Eubacteriales; Clostridiaceae
Description: TPP sequence
Rfam family: TPP riboswitch aptamer (THI element)
About the family: Vitamin B(1) in its active form thiamin pyrophosphate (TPP) is an essential coenzyme that is synthesised by coupling of pyrimidine and thiazole moieties in bacteria. The previously detected thiamin-regulatory element, thi box was extended, resulting in a new, highly conserved RNA secondary structure, the THI element, which is widely distributed in eubacteria and also occurs in some archaea.
Source: Rfam by way of RNAcentral